GUCCAGACUCCUACGGGAGGCAGCAGUGAGGAAUAUUGGUCAAUGGGCGGAAGCCUGAACCAGCCAAGUCGCGUGAGGGAAGAAGGCCCUGCGGGUCGCAGACCUCUUUGGACGGGGAGCAAGGCCGCCGACGUGUCGGCGGAAGGAGAGUACCCGUAGAACAAGCAUCGGCUGACUCCGUGCCAGCAGCCGCGGUAAUACGGAGGAUGCGAGCGUUAUCCGGAUUUAUUGGGUUUAAAGGGUGCGUAGGCGGAAUGCCAAGUCAGCGGUAAAAUCGCGGGGCUCAACCUCGCUCCGCCGUUGAAACUGGCGUUCUUGAGUGGGCGAGAAGUAUGCGGAAUGCGUGGUGUAGCGGUGAAAUGCAUAGAUAUCACGAAGAACUCCGAUUGCGAAGGCAGCUCACUGGACUGCAACUGACACUGAUGCUCGAAAGUGUGGGUAUCAAACAGGAUUAGAUACCCUCGUA
Molecule: ribosomal RNA, 466 nt
Filed under: uncultured bacterium
Lineage: Bacteria
Description: bacterial SSU rRNA
Rfam family: Bacterial small subunit ribosomal RNA
Source: RNAcentral